GAACGCUGGCGGCGUGCCUAACACAUGCAAGUCGAACGGGAACCUACUAACGGAGACUUCGGUUGAAGAUAGUAGAAUUCUAGUGGCGGAUGGGUGAGUAACGCGUGGGUAACCUACCUACAAGAAUUGGAUAACAGCGAGAAAUUGUUGCUAAUACAAUAUAAGCUUACGUUGUCGCAUGACAGAGUGAGAAAAGAUUUAUCGCUUGUAGAUGGACCCGCGUUUGAUUAGCUAGUUGGUGGGGUAGAGGCCUACCAAAGCGACGAUCAAUAGCCGGCCUGAGAGGGUGACCGGCCACAUUGGGACUGAGACACGGCCCAAACUCCUACGGGAGGCAGCAGUGGGGAAUAUUGCACAAUGGGGGGAACCCUGAUGCAGCAACGCCGCGUGAGUGAAGAAGUAUUUCGGUAUGUAAAGCUCUAUCGAUAGGGAAUAAGAUGAAGGUACCUAAGUAAGAAGCCCCGGCUAACCACGUGCCAGCAGCGGC
This 487-nucleotide ribosomal RNA is filed under the name uncultured bacterium. RNAcentral describes it as "bacterial SSU rRNA". It matches the Rfam family "Bacterial small subunit ribosomal RNA", at positions 31 to 518 of the family's 1533-position model. The record is from RNAcentral.